AAUUAAUAUUUUAGAAUAUUUCUAUCAACAGAUAAAAUUUAAAAGAGUUAGUGGUCUUGAAAAUAAACAAUCUUUUGUAAUGAAGUUAUGCGGUCUAUAAAUGAUAAAUUUUGAUCCAAUCUUCUUCAUUGAUAAUAAACAUGUAUAGCAUAAUAUAAACGAAUCAAUUCAGAGACUUAUGAAUGUCUGACAGCGAUUUCAAGACUCUCAGCUUGAAGUAAAAUUAAUGCAUAUGUAAAUUGAAUAAUCGUAUUUAUUUUUGAUAAGAUAAAAUUUUAUAUAAAUUGUCUCGGUAAUUUAAAUAUAUUCUAAAUAAUUAUUUUAAUUGAUUUGAAACGAAUAUAUUUGAAAAACCCAAUGCUUAAAGGGAUAUUCUGGUCUAGAGGCUCAAAUUUGAAGGAUUUCUAUAAGGGCAAUAAAAAAAAUUAGGAAAACGGUUGACCCUUAAGGCCAUUCUUGCUACUUCCCACUAAUUCCAUACAUAAGCGUUUAAAAUUGCACUUAUGACGUUUUUGAGUUCUUCGAGCUCAAAAAUAUAAUUUAUCUGUUUUAGCCAUAAUUCAUAGCUAAAUUUGUCAUUAAAGACAAAUUUGGGAACUGGUAAAAGAAAGGAUAAUGGGAAAGAGGGGACUUUACUCCGUGGAAAUUUUUCGGUAACCGAAAAAAUAAUUCGGACAGCCCAGACCGGAACUCAAACCCGGACCAUUUGGUUAGGCUCCAAAGUCUCUACUGAUUAAGUUAUUGCACUAAAUAUCAAGUGAAUCGCUUUACUAGAACUUGAGAUAUCAUGUCAACCAUUUUAAAAGAAAAAAUUUUCGAG
Molecule: long non-coding RNA, 820 nt
Organism: Cotesia glomerata
Lineage: Eukaryota; Metazoa; Arthropoda; Insecta; Hymenoptera; Braconidae
Exons: 2
Source: RefSeq, a predicted model, not a curated record